AUAGAGACUCAGAGCUGCAUAUCAAUAAGCGGAGGAAAAGAAACUAACUAGGAUUCCCUUAGUAACGGCGAGUGAAGCGGGAAGAGCUCAAAUUUGAAAUCUUCAAGGUUUUACCUUGACGAAUUGUAGUUUAAAGAAGUGUUUUCUGUUGGAGUUGAGUACAAAGUUCCUUGGAAAUAGGACAUCAUAGAGGGUGAGAAUCCCGUAUUUGACCAUUAUUUCAGCUGUGUGAUACACUUUCAAAGAGUCGGAUUGUUUGGGAAUGCAGUCCAAAAUGGGUGGUAAAUUUCAUCUAAAGCUAAAUAUUGGCGAGAGACCGAUAGCGAACAAGUACCGUGAGGGAAAGAUGAAAAGAACUUUGAAAAGAGAGUUAAACAGUACGUGAAAUUGUCAAAAGGGAAGCGUUUGACACCAGUGUUGUUUUUCCAAAAAUCAAUUACGAAUGGCUGAUUUUGUGUUGUAUUGACCUUAUCAGCUUUCUGCACUCUUUUCUGAGUCUUUUUAAUGCACUUUUCGGUUAACAAGUCAACAUCAAUUUCUUUUGUUGUAAAAGAGUCAUUCGGAAGGUGGCUUUCUUUUCGGAGAAAGUGUUUAUAGCCUUUGGCCUCUGCAAUCGGAGAGAUUGAGGUCUGCAGCGUAGAUCCUUCGGGGUUAGAUACAUUUGUGCUAAGUUAUAGCCUUUCAUAGACAACUUGUUGACUAUGAUUAGUCAUGUCGCUUACUCGCUUAUGCUAUUUUACCUACGCUUAGGAUGUUGACGAUCAGCUGAGCGCG
Molecule: ribosomal RNA, 774 nt
Filed under: uncultured Neocallimastigales
Lineage: Eukaryota; Fungi; Neocallimastigomycota; Neocallimastigomycetes; Neocallimastigales
Description: partial large subunit ribosomal RNA
Rfam family: Eukaryotic large subunit ribosomal RNA
Source: RNAcentral